RNAcentral lists this small nucleolar RNA (92 nucleotides) under Sciurus vulgaris (Eurasian red squirrel). RNAcentral's name for it is "Small nucleolar RNA U83B (ENSSVLG00005023142.1)". It matches the Rfam family "Small nucleolar RNA U83B". From Rfam's summary of the family: U83B belongs to the C/D family of snoRNAs. Lineage: Eukaryota; Metazoa; Chordata; Mammalia; Rodentia; Sciuridae. The record is from Rfam by way of RNAcentral.
AAAGUUCAGUGAUGAAGCCUGGAAUGAACACAAGGCACAGUGGCACAUUGGACUGUGGGGCCGUUCCUUGUUGCCUUCCUUCUGGGAGAAUA